Molecule: ribosomal RNA, 206 nt
Filed under: uncultured Staphylococcus sp.
Lineage: Bacteria; Bacillati; Bacillota; Bacilli; Caryophanales; Staphylococcaceae
Description: partial 16S ribosomal RNA
Rfam family: Bacterial small subunit ribosomal RNA
Source: RNAcentral
AAACCGGAGCUAAUACGGAUAAUAUAUUGAACCGCAUGGUUCAAUAGUGAAAGACGGUUUUGCUGUCACUUAUAGAUGGAUCCGCGCCGCAUUAGCUAGUUGGUAAGGUAACGGCUUACCAAGGCAACGAUGCGUAGCCGACCUGAGAGGGUGAUCGGCCACACUGGAACUGAGACACGGUCCAGAUCCUACGGGAGGCAGCAGCG